UUCUAUUUACUUGAAGUUAAUUAUUUGGUGAAAAAGCUAAAGUUUUCUUAGAGGACGAUAAGACCCUAUAGAUCUUUAUAAAAUUAUAUUAGUUUCUUGGUUGUUAAUAAACUAAUAGCUCUUUUAUUUCGUUGGGGCGACGUCGAGGGUUGAUUUAUCUCUCGAAAUGUAUUUACAUUUAUUAAUGCUAUUUGAUCCUUAACUGAAUUAGGAUAAAGUUACCUUAGGGAUAACAGCGUAAUUUUUCUUGAGAGUUCUUAUCG
Molecule: ribosomal RNA, 263 nt
Filed under: Branchinella sp. n. 35
Lineage: Eukaryota; Metazoa; Arthropoda; Branchiopoda; Anostraca; Thamnocephalidae
Description: partial 16S ribosomal RNA
Source: RNAcentral